GACGAACGCUGGCGGCGUGCUUAGCACAUGCAAGUCGAACGGAAAGGCCCUGCUUUUGUGGGGUGCUCGAGUGGCGAACGGGUGAGUAACACGUGAGUAACCUGCCCUUGACUUUGGGAUAACUUCAGGAAACUGGGGCUAAUACCGGAUAGGAGCUCCUGCUGCAUGGUGGGGGUUGGAAAGUUUCGGCGGUUGGGGAUGGACUCGCGGCUUAUCAGCUUGUUGGUGGGGUAGUGGCUUACCAAGGCUUUGACGGGUAGCCGGCCUGAGAGGGUGACCGGCCACAUUGGGACUGAGAUACGGCCCAGACUCCUACGGGAGGCAGUAGUGGGGAAUAUUGCACAAUGGGCGGAAGCCUGAUGCAGCAACGCCGCGUGCGGGAUGACGGCCUUCGGGUUGUAAACCGCUUUCGCCUGUGACGAAGCGUGAGUGACGGUAAUGGGUAAAGAAGCACCGGCUAACUACGUG
Molecule: ribosomal RNA, 468 nt
Filed under: uncultured bacterium
Lineage: Bacteria
Description: partial 16S ribosomal RNA
Rfam family: Bacterial small subunit ribosomal RNA
Source: RNAcentral